UGGGGAAUCUUGGACAAUGGGCGCAAGCCUGAUCCAGCCAUGCCGCGUGGAUGAUGAAGGCCCUAGGGUUGUAAAAUCCUUUCGCCGCUGAAGAUAAUGACGGUAAGCGGAGAAGAAGCCCCGGCUAAUUUCGUGCCAGCAGCCGCGGUAAUACGAAAGGGGCUAGCGUUGUUCGGAAUUACUGGGCGUAAAGCGCGUGUAGGCGGAUCGGUUAGUUGGGGGUGAAAGCCCAGGGCUCAACCCUGGAAUUGCCUCCAAUACUGCCGAUCUUGAGUAUGGGAGAGGUGAGCGGAAUUCCGAGUGUAGAGGUGAAAUUCGUAGAUAUUCGGAGGAACACCAGAGGCGAAGGCGGCUCACUGGACCAUUACUGACGCUGAGACGCGAAAGCGUGGGGAGCAAACAGGAUUAGAUACCCCCGUAGUCC
This 424-nucleotide ribosomal RNA is filed under the name uncultured prokaryote. Its description in RNAcentral is "bacterial SSU rRNA". It matches the Rfam family "Bacterial small subunit ribosomal RNA", at positions 355 to 796 of the family's 1533-position model. The record is from RNAcentral.